Gorilla gorilla gorilla (western lowland gorilla) is the source of this 538-nucleotide long non-coding RNA. RefSeq lists it as uncharacterized. NCBI's taxonomy places the organism in Eukaryota, Metazoa, Chordata, Mammalia, Primates, Hominidae. The record is from RefSeq and is a predicted model, not a curated record. The transcript is spliced from 3 exons.
UUCCUGCUGUGGCAGCGCUCAACUCUUGCCAAUGCUCUUCUCUGCUUUGCUCACUUUAAGCCUCCCUUAAUUUUUUUGAAGCCCAGUUUCCACAUUGCUGAUUCACAGAUAUGCAAGACUCAGGCAGGAAAAAAAAAGUGUCUCCUUUUCCAGACUUCUUAGAAGACUUGGAAAGAAAAUGAAAUGACGUUGAACGAAAUCAAAGUAAAUUGAGUGAUCUGAAACGAUUUGAUGUCAGCAAGAAUUCCCUAUACAGCUCACAGCCCUACCCCGAGCACGCCUCCCUCUUGGGUAUGCUCUCUGCAGGCCCAAACCUUGCAGAAGCCAUUCCAUGUUCCCUGAGCAGGAAAAGACAAACUCAGACCGACAACCUUGGACUUCAAAAGACGGCACACAAGGGGAGGAAGGACUGAGAGUACCAAGGCGUGAGAAUUCAGAAUGCUGCUAUCUCAUUUAUUUUUACUAUUUAGGAAACGUUUUGAUCUGCAUCCUUUUCCCUUCCCUGAUUUCAAAAAAUAAAGAUAAAAAUGCUUCGGUU